RNAcentral lists this ribosomal RNA (83 nucleotides) under Haloaleurodiscus mangrovei. RNAcentral's name for it is "partial 25S rRNA". The record is from RNAcentral. Lineage: Eukaryota; Fungi; Basidiomycota; Agaricomycetes; Russulales; Stereaceae.
GCGAGCGAAGGGGGGGGUUCUUCGGCAAUAUGAUAAUUGUCAUGUGUCUAUUGCCUGGGGGGCCCUCUCUGCGUUGAGUGGGU